RNAcentral lists this long non-coding RNA (262 nucleotides) under Setaria viridis. RNAcentral's name for it is "long non-coding RNA (SVIR_LNC010535)". The record is from RNAcentral. Lineage: Eukaryota; Viridiplantae; Streptophyta; Magnoliopsida; Poales; Poaceae.
UCACCAAAACAAUUGUUGAAAAUAACCCAAAGCAACACUAAGUCUAUAUUUAAAUUACCUUGCUUUAUCAUUCAAGUCCCAAAGUACUGUGUAUAUCUUUUAACAAAUUAUCCACUUUCACUAUUAUUGAUCUAAAUUAACCACCUAUGCCAUUGUGAAAAAAUAAUAUAAAGCCCAAAAUAUCACAACUAUUUGCGCCAAUGAAAUUUAACUAAUAUUUUGUAAACAAAGAUGUUCACAAUUUAUAUUCUGCAUAGUCCAG